GGCAUUCUUUUUUUUCCAGAUAUUCUUGUAUUCUUUUUCUGCAAUUUUGAGACAAUUCAAAUGAAAUAAAGUUUAAUUUUAUUUUGGGGUUUAUCUUUGAGCAAAUGACAUUAUUCUAUGGUAUGAUUAUCUCUCAAACAACGAUCGGUUACCUCUAGCUCAAAAGAGGCUCCCAAAAUAGAAAACGUCGAAAAAUGUGCCUUGCUAUGUGUUAAUCUGAUUCAUUCCUUUAUAUCACUGAUACACUAAUUUCUUCACCUUUGUUGUUUUGUUUUGUCUUGUCUUGUUUCCCCCUCCCAUAGGUUGAUUUGUGCAUCCUGGCCUAUCACACCCGUUCAAAGGGGGAUCCUCCUUCUCCUCCUCCUCUUUCUACAGGUCUCAAAAACAAAGAAGUGAUGGAUAAUGGGGGUGCUAGUUCUGUAGGAGAUAGUGUUGUCCGGCAAAGUAAAAUAAUACUAAAAAUGGAGCAAAGGAUUUUGGAGUUACAAGGGGAGCUAGAGUACGUGUGCAAUCUGGCCAAGCUAUAGCUCAAUCUGAAUACUCCUGAAUUGCAAGCCGAUAGCUAUGUCAUACCAAAGUCCCAAAGUGUGCCUAACCCUCCAAUGCCUCCUCCUCAGCCUCAAAACCCCAUAAAUGUCCAAAGCCUCCCAAAUCCCGUCCCAUACAACCCAAAUAUCCUAACUCCACUAUAUAUGCCUACCCAUUAUAUCUAGAGAGAGAAUGAAUUCAUCAUCCAUGAUACAUUGUUAGUAUAUAUCAAGUGAGUAUUAUAAAAGAUUCAUGGGUAUUUUCUUUAGAAGGAAUGAGUCAUUUCUUCGUGAUACUCUAUUAGUAUAUGAUAUAUAUCAUGUGGACAUUAUAGAGAUUUGAAUUGUAACUUUUUGAAAGAAUGGAUCUCUGAUCUAUGAUACCUUAUCAGACAUGACACGUAGCAGG
This 936-nucleotide long non-coding RNA is filed under the name Capsicum annuum. RNAcentral describes it as "long non-coding RNA (CANN_LNC003268)". Lineage: Eukaryota; Viridiplantae; Streptophyta; Magnoliopsida; Solanales; Solanaceae. The record is from RNAcentral.